AUACUUAGGGUGCAAGCGUUAAUCGGAAUUACUGGGCGUAAAGCGCUCGUAGGCGGCUUGUAAAGUCGGAUGUGAAAUCCCCGGGCUCAACCUGGGAACUGCAUUCGAUACUGGCAGGCUAGAGUAUAGUAGAGGCAAGUGGAAUUUCGGGUGUAGCGGUGAAAUGCGUAGAUAUCCGAAGGAACAUCAGUGGCGAAGGCGACUUGCUGGACUAAUACUGACGCUGAGGAGCGAAAGCGUGGGGAGCAAACGGGAUUAGAAACCCGAGUAGUCC
Molecule: ribosomal RNA, 274 nt
Filed under: uncultured bacterium
Lineage: Bacteria
Description: partial 16S ribosomal RNA
Rfam family: Bacterial small subunit ribosomal RNA
Source: RNAcentral